This 101-nucleotide non-coding RNA is filed under the name human gut metagenome. RNAcentral describes it as "THF riboswitch". It matches the Rfam family "THF (Tetrahydrofolate) riboswitch aptamer". Rfam says of the family: THF riboswitch presents a pseudoknot that joins P1-P2 and the loop of P3 and two THF binding. RNAcentral also lists the same sequence under 1 other name. The record is from RNAcentral.
AGAGUAGGAAAUCGAGCGUAUAUAGUGCCGCAAAGACGGGGAGUUGCUUUGCGGACGAAACUGCACAAAAGGUGCAUGCGGUUCGGUUUUCGCAUCCCGCU